Molecule: long non-coding RNA, 699 nt
Filed under: Homo sapiens (human)
Lineage: Eukaryota; Metazoa; Chordata; Mammalia; Primates; Hominidae
Description: HSALNT0071836
Source: RNAcentral
GUUUGAAAGAUAAUUUAAAUGAGAGAGAUAAGCCACUGAAUGGAAGACAAACUCAAACAGCAUGGGAAAAGAAAAACAAUGGAAAGGAUUUCGUCUUCAAAUAUUCAUAAUGGAUACAGUUUACCAGGCACAAUCUAAGGCACAAACACAGCUUCUGGAUAUAUUAGCAUUGCCCUCCUCCCUAUACCCCAUUUAUAUCACAAAGAUGCUAAGCUCCAUGUGAGGUGAGGAAAUGUGUAAAGUGAAUGUUAUAAAUGUUAACAGCAGCAGUUCAUAAAUCACCUAUUAAAGACUGGGACACCUAAGACACUGUGUGCUCUACAACAGUGCAAAAAAAAUCUCCAGUUUCUCUUCAGACAAACGAUUUUUCUCAAGAAAGACUACAAGCACUAUUUUUUGAGUAACCACAUUAAAAAAAAACCUAACUCCUGUCUUAACCAUUCUAAUUAAGCUACAGCUAUGCUUCCAGACCAAGAACAGGUACUCGCAGGUGGAGCUGCAACUCAGCAACAGAACAUGUAAAAUUUGAAGCCAUAACUUUGAGAACUUUGUUCCCCGUAAUGUGCUCAGGCAUUUCUGUGCAGCAUGUCUUGUCACCAUGCCUGCUGCUGCUCAAUGCACAGUCACGCAAGCUGACAAAUAGGUCAACAUCCUGAAGUGUAGUCUCAAAGGUGCUCAGAAUUCUUCCAGGUGAGCUUU